CUGCUCGCUUCCGCGGCACACAUAUUAAAAUUGGAACAACACAGAGAAGAUUAGCCUGGCCCCUGCACAAGGACGAAACACAAACUCGUGAAGUGGUCCAUAUUUUU
Molecule: small nuclear RNA, 107 nt
Organism: Cavia aperea (Brazilian guinea pig)
Lineage: Eukaryota; Metazoa; Chordata; Mammalia; Rodentia; Caviidae
Source: Ensembl